AGGACGAACGCUGGCGGCGUGCUUAACACAUGCAAGUCGAGCGGAAAGGCCCUUCGGGGUACUCGAGCGGCGAACGGGUGAGUAACACGUGAGCAACCUGCCCUUAGCUUCGGGAUAGCUCCGGGAAACCGGAAUUAAUACCGGAUAUGACUAUGGCCGACAUCAGCCAUGGUGGAAAGUUUUUCGGCUAGGGAUGGACUCGCGGCCUAUCAGCUAGUUGGUGAGGUAACGGCUCACCAAGGCGACGACGGGUAGCCGGCCUGAGAGGGCGACCGGCCACACUGGGACUGAGACACGGCCCAGACUCCUACGGGAGGCAGCAGUGGGGAAUAUUGCGCAAUGGGCGAAAGCCUGACGCAGCGACGCCGCGUGGGGGAUGAAUGCCUUCGGGUUGUAAACCCCUUUCAGCAGGGACGAAGCGAAGUGACGGUACCUGCAGAAGAGCGCCGGCUAACACGUGCCAGCAGCCGC
This 471-nucleotide ribosomal RNA is filed under the name uncultured bacterium. Its description in RNAcentral is "SSU rRNA". It matches the Rfam family "Bacterial small subunit ribosomal RNA", at positions 26 to 518 of the family's 1533-position model. The record is from RNAcentral.